This 272-nucleotide unclassified non-coding RNA is filed under the name Hevea brasiliensis (rubber tree). The record is from RNAcentral. Lineage: Eukaryota; Viridiplantae; Streptophyta; Magnoliopsida; Malpighiales; Euphorbiaceae.
GAUUUAAAACUAUGGUCAUUAUUAAUUUCCAUGCCUUCUGUAUCGUAAAUUGUUCUCACAAACUAGUUGAUUAUUUGUAGUCCAUGAUAGUAAUUUAUCAUAUUUUCUAAAUAUGCCAAUUUAAGUUCUAAAACACCUCUCCAUCUUUCAGAAAAUCUAUACAUUGAUAUUUUGAGGUGCAACUAAAAUACUCAUUCCAGCCAAAAAAAUAUUGAAAUUUUUAUACUUAAUACAACUUAAAAUUUUGACGAAAUUAACUUAAGACAUGACUU